UUAUGCUAUAUAUAUUUUAAGGACUAAAAUUAGCAAAUAUACCUCAGUAACAAAAUAAGUUAGAAUUGGCUAUCACCAUUAUUUACCACUACAAGUGAAAUGGUGUGCAUAUUAGGCUUAAGAAUAAUCGUUCUUUGCUUAGCCACUCAGCCAGCCUCCGAAAAACUGAGUAGUAAACUAUUUUUUGAUUCAGUUUUGACAAUGUCUAGUCUCUCGCUAUCUCUUUCUCUAGCGAAAUCAGGUGGUAAUUUUUACUAACUAUUACUAUUUAGAUACAGGCAACAGUAAAUGAAAAUAAGACUACUACAAUUAACAUGAUUUCAACCAAAAAUAAACAAACCAUGUACUAACAAAAUAUACAAAGAAUAAAACAGUGAGGAGGGAACUGGAAUUUCAUUAAUGUAAACCCAUCUUCAAUAUAAUAGAGGAACUCCAUAGAAGAUUGAACAAUAGCUACAAAUCGCAACAGACUCCGGACCAGAAACCUCAUCUGCGAAUAAUAGAGGAACUUAGAAAGGGAAGGUUACUACUGAAUUUUUUGAUGAAGGAGGCCGUUGGUGUUGAUCUCAAAAUGAGGUUUAUUGGCUGCUCGUUCAGAGAGGGCCUCUUCUGUUUUUCAUUCUCCCUCCCUUUUUCAUUUCUUGUGCCCAAAAGGACCCCCCUCCUCUUUUUUUUGUGUGUUAAUAUAUCUGGUGAGAUUAAUUGGGGAGCAAGCAAAGCUGGGUCAUGUGAGGAGAGUGUGCAUUGGAUAGAGAUGAAAAAAAAUGUGACGUGGAAGGAAUCCUGUGUAUGUAUGGAGUGAAUGAGAAGAUAUUUCAAGAAAAAAGUGUAUGUGGAUCAGAAUACCAAAAAUAUGUGACAAAGAGAAUAAAUAUAUGCAAGGAAUAUUCCUAUUCUGGUAACUGCAUUUGUGUAUGA
This 918-nucleotide long non-coding RNA is filed under the name Nicotiana benthamiana. RNAcentral's name for it is "long non-coding RNA (NBEN_LNC014350)". Lineage: Eukaryota; Viridiplantae; Streptophyta; Magnoliopsida; Solanales; Solanaceae. The record is from RNAcentral.